RNAcentral lists this ribosomal RNA (497 nucleotides) under uncultured bacterium. RNAcentral describes it as "partial 16S ribosomal RNA". It matches the Rfam family "Bacterial small subunit ribosomal RNA", at positions 28 to 507 of the family's 1533-position model. The record is from RNAcentral.
GACGAACGCUGGCGGCGUGCCUAAUACAUGCCAGUUGAGCGCUGAAGGUUGGUACUUGUACCAAGUGCAUGAGCAGCGAACGGGUGUGUCACGCGAGGGGACUCUGCCUUUGAGCGGGGUACAACAUGUGGAAACGAAUUCUAACACCGCAUAAAAACCUGAAACACAAGGUUUAUGUUUGAAAGUUGCAAUUGCAUCACUCAAAGAUGAUCCCUCGUUGUAUUGGCUAGUUCGUGAGGUAAAGGCUCACCAAGGCGAUGAAACAUAGCCGACCUGAGAGGGUGCUCGGCCAGCUUGGGACUGUGACACGGCCCAAUCGGCUUCGGGAGGCAGCAAUAGGGAAACUUCGGGCAUGAGCGGAAGUCUGACCGCGCAGCGCCGCAGCAGUGAAGAAGGUUUUCGGGUCGUAAAACUCUGUUGGUAGAGAAGAACCUUGGUGCGAGUGGAACGCACAGCGAGUGACGGUAACGACCAAGAAAGCAACGGCUAACUACGUG